AGACGUCUACGUCGGGAGUCCGGUCCGAACGCAACCUCUGGUCCCGAAGGUCGCAGCUCCGGUCUCAGAAGGGAUCUCUGCAAAGGCGUUCGCUCUGGAGUAAAACGUGAAGUAGGUCUUUUUCGUCGUUACGUUGCGGCCAGAUGUCGAUCCGGGAUACUUCAUGGUAAUGGCGUCUUCUGCGGAUGUU
RNAcentral lists this ribosomal RNA (190 nucleotides) under Paramecium sp. 'FL 12w'. Its description in RNAcentral is "partial 23S ribosomal RNA". Lineage: Eukaryota; Ciliophora; Oligohymenophorea; Peniculida; Parameciidae. The record is from RNAcentral.